AACGAACGCUGGCGGCGUGCUUAACACAUGCAAGUCGAACGCGAAAGGGACUUCGGUCCGUGAGUAAAGUGGCGCACGGGUGAGUAACGCGUAGAUAACCUGUCUUCAUGUCUGGAAUAAUACGCCGAAAGGGGUACUAAUACCGGAUAUUCUUGCUUUUCAUAAGUUAUGCAAGCAAAGGUGGCCUCUGCAUAUGCUACUGCAUGAAGAGGGGUCUGCGUACCAUCAGCUAGUAGGUGGGGUAAUGGCCUACCUAGGCGACGAUGGUUAGCGGGUCUGAGAGGAUGAUCCGCCACACUGGCACUGGAACACGGGCCAGACUCCUACGGGAGGCAGCAGUGAGGAAUAUUGCGCAAUGGGGGAAACCCUGACGCAGCGACGCCGCGUGAGUGAGGAAAGGCCUUCGGGUCGUAAAGCUCUGUCAAGAGGAAAGAAGUGUACAAUGGCUAAUACCUGUUGUAUUUGACGGUACCUCUAAAGGAAGCACCGGCUAACUCCGUGCCAGCAGCUGC
Molecule: ribosomal RNA, 512 nt
Filed under: uncultured bacterium
Lineage: Bacteria
Description: bacterial SSU rRNA
Rfam family: Bacterial small subunit ribosomal RNA
Source: RNAcentral